GUUAUUUUAAUGCUACAGGUAUGGUGAGUCAAAGUUACCCUAAAGGGAGAUCACAGAGACAACUGUGGUUGAACAUGAAGUAGAUGGCAGGCAUCUGGGGCAUCACACUGCACAGUGCUUGUGGAGAAGAACUGCAUCUACUGUGCCCCUUGUGCUAAGCCAGCUCCUUUAUAUACUGCUGUACCGGACCCAUUGAACAAUGCUUGAACCUGAUCUUUCGUGUGCUGACAACCUGCCCUCUGAUGGGGCUGUCGUACCCCAGCAGCAGAAUGGACAAACAGCAAUUUUGCACCCCGUUCCGUAUGACGGGCAGUCAUUUCCACUGAAGAGCAGGCCUGGUGUAUUUCUCUCAGGCUUCUCCUUCUACAACAAAUCCCUUUCAUUUGGAUGAAGUCUGGCAAAUGAAAAGCAUCGUAUGCCAGACGCUCGCACAGAUGUUCCCGCAUGGCUUGCAGGAAGAAGUACAAGGAUAAUACAGCACCAGAUAGUGUCUACUAAAAAGGAUCCCAGACUUACUUGACUGUCAAGAAGGCCAGGUAGUCACAGACCUCCACUGAACAAACAGGUAAAAAUAGGUUGUCACAGUAGGCCCAAGAGCCUGGGUCCUGCCUGCGGCACUGGAGCUCCAGCUGGACCGGGAGAGCUCUUAUAUACUGCCAUUGCAGGAGUACGAUAUAAGUACUCUUAAAUAGAUUUGGGGCUCACAUCUUGGACUGGAGACUUCAGAGACAGUUAAUCUAAUCGGCAGAUGAAUUGACUUUGAAUCUCAAAGCAAAGCUGAAUAAUUUUAAUGACACAUAGUUGGAGGAGAUAUAAUAUUGUAAUCCCCUAUCGCAUGGCCAUGGUAAGUACUUACAGAUGAUGAAGAAACCUUGUAAAAAGAAACUGACAAGUUCAAAGCAAGUGAGGAGAAGCAAGAUAUUUUCUGCUGAGUAGUGCUUUCUGUCAGCACUGAAAUGACAACAUACUGCUCACACUGUACAUUUGUUACUGUGAUGAUCUCGUUCUCGAUUUUAAAACAGCUGUUUUUUCUGAGAGGCAUUAUUACACACCAGAAAAAGUUCAUUUGGUCCUAUUCUGCAUUCAAGAGAAAGAAAUUGACCAUAUUUCAUUUAUUUUUAGUAUAUCCCUUGAGCUGAAUUGUUAGAAAGAUAAAGCAUGAAAAUAAUGGUAUAGUAAUAUCUGCCAGGAUCAUGCUAUCCUUUAAAUUUAAACAUCACUUCUAUGCACCGAAGCAUAAUCUUGUACUUGUAAUUAUUAAUCAGCAGCACAUUAUCUGAACUACUCAAAGUCAGAUGUCAUAGUGGGUCCAGAAAAGGAGAUUCACUGCAGUGUCAUGAAGAUGAUUACAAUGAGGCAGCAGUGGAAAAAAGAACUAUUAGCGACAGUAGAACGCAUUGUUGCCAGAGACCCUCUGUUCUUUCCAAUUGUACC
RNAcentral lists this long non-coding RNA (1434 nucleotides) under Struthio camelus australis. RNAcentral's name for it is "lncRNA (ENSSCUG00000002579.1)". The record is from RNAcentral. Lineage: Eukaryota; Metazoa; Chordata; Aves; Struthioniformes; Struthionidae.